Mustela erminea (ermine) is the source of this 261-nucleotide long non-coding RNA. RefSeq lists it as uncharacterized. Lineage: Eukaryota; Metazoa; Chordata; Mammalia; Carnivora; Mustelidae. The transcript has 2 exons. The record is from RefSeq and is a predicted model, not a curated record.
ACCCAGGCACCCCGAAUUGUACAUUUUAAAUAGUUGUUACUCUGAAAUGCUGCUGCCAAGUCAUCUCACAUGACUCCAACGAGGCUCAGAGCAAACCCACCCACCUCUUGAGUUCAACACAUUGACCCUCUUCUGUCCCCACAUAUGGUUCUCUCAUCUGUACAUUUCUCUGACUUCAUCUCCCCGCUUCUCCUCACUUUGACUUGGGAUCUUCCUGCUGUGUAUCUGCUAUCCUUCAAAUAAAUGCUUCAUGCGAGCUGA